GUGUUCAGCCAUGUUGUCACUGAUUUUAGAAUUGUGAAUUACAGUCCUUCAUUAAGAGUGGCAUCUCAGGGCUUCCCUGGUGGCGCAGUGGUUGAGAAUCCACCUGCCAAUGCAGGGGACACGGGUUCAAGCCCUGGCCUGGGAAGAUCCCACAUGGCUGGGGAGCAACUAAGCCCGUGCGCCACAACUACUGAGCCUGAGCUCUAGAGCCCACGAGCGACAACUACUGAAGCCCACGCACCUAGAGCCUGUGCUCCACAACAAGAGAAGCCACUGCAACGAGAAGCCCACGCACCACAACGAAGAGUAGCCCCCGUUCACCGCAACUAGAGAAAGCCCGCACGCAGCAACAGAGACCCAACGCAGCCAAAAAUGAUAAAUAAAUAAAAGAAAAGAAAAAAA
Orcinus orca (killer whale) is the source of this 402-nucleotide long non-coding RNA. RefSeq lists it as uncharacterized. The record is from RefSeq and is a predicted model, not a curated record. Lineage: Eukaryota; Metazoa; Chordata; Mammalia; Artiodactyla; Delphinidae. The transcript is spliced from 2 exons.